CGGUGUUCAACUGGCGUGCCCGCGGGACGUCCUGCCGGUGAGCUCAGCCCGCGAGGGCGGCUCAACUUGAAAUCCCAUCGCGGUGCUCUUCAUUGAGUGUCGAGGUGGGCCGGCACGAUUACUUUUGAACAAAUUAGAGUGCUUAAAGCAGGCUAAAAUUUUGCCUGAAUACUGUGUAUAUGGAAUAAUGGAAUAGGACCUCGGUUCUAUUUUGUUGGUUUUCGGAACCCCGAGGUAAUGAUUAAUAGGAACGGAUGGGGGCAUUCGUAUUGCGACGUUAGAGGUGAAAUUCUUGGAUCGUCGCAAGACGGACUAAAGCGAAAGCAUUUGCCAAAAACGCUUUCAUUGAUCAAGAACGAAAGUUAGAGGUUCGAAGGCGAUCAGAUACCGCCCUAGUUCUAACCAUAAACUAUGCCAGCUAGCGAUCCGCCGACGUCCCUCUGAUGACUCGGCGGGCAGCUUCCGGGAAACCAAAGCUUUUGGGUUCCGGGGGAAGUAUGGUUGCAAAGCUGAAACUUAAAGGAAUUGACGGAAGGGCACCACCAGGAGUGGAGCCUGCGGCUUAAUUUGACUCAACACGGGAAACCUCACCAGGCCCAGACACUGGAAGGAUUGACAGAUUGAGAGCUCUUUCUUGAUUCAGUGGGUGGUGGUGCAUGGCCGUUCUUAGUCGGUGGAGCGAUUUGUCAGGUUAAUUCCGAUAACGGACGAGACUCUGACCUGAUAACUAGACGCACUUGCAGCAUCUCAAAGGUCCGCCGGCGGCUGGCUUUGCGCCCGUCGUCGCGCGCGAUUUUUACUGCCGGCGUACAAUAAAUUCUUCUUAGAGGGACAAGUGG
Molecule: ribosomal RNA, 839 nt
Filed under: uncultured eukaryote
Lineage: Eukaryota
Description: SSU rRNA
Rfam family: Eukaryotic small subunit ribosomal RNA
Source: RNAcentral